AGUUGGUGAGGUAAAGGCUCACCAAGGCGACGAUCUGUAGCGGGUCUGAGAGGAUGAUCCGCCACACUGGAACUGAGACACGGUCCAGACUCCUACGGGAGGCAGCAGUGGGGAAUUUUGGACAAUGGGCGCAAGCCUGAUCCAGCCAUGCCGCGUGAGUGAAGAAGGCCUUCGGGUUGUAAAGCUCUUUCAGCCGGGAAGAAAACGCAUGGGUUAAUACCCUGUGUGGAUGACGGUACCGGAAUAAGAAGCACCGGCUAACUACGUGCCAGCAGCCGCGGUAAUACGUAGGGUGCGAGCGUUAAUCGGAAUUACUGGGCGUAAAGCGUGCGCAGGCGGUUUGUUAAGAUAGGCGUGAAAUCCCCGGGCUCAACCUGGGAACUGCGUUUAUGACUGGCAAGCUAGAGUAUGGCAGAGGGGGGUGGAAUUCCACGUGUAGCAGUGAAAUGCGUAGAGAUGUGGAGGAACACCGAUGGCGAAGGCAGCCCCCUGGGCCAAUACUGACGCUCAUGCACGAAAGCGUGGGUAGCAAACAGGAUUAGAUACCCUGGUAGUCCACGCCCUAAACGAUGUCAACUAGGUGUUGGGAGGGUAAAACCUUUUAGUACCGGAGCUAACGCGUGAAGUUGACCGCCUGGGGAGUACGGCCGCAAGGUUAAAACUCAAAGGAAUUGACGGGGACCCGCACAAGCGGUGGAUGAUGUGGAUUAAUUCGAUGCAACGCGAAAAACCUUACCUACCCUUGACAUGUCCGGAAGCCCUUAGAGAUUUGGGUGUGCUCGAAAGAGAGCCGGAACACAGGUGCUGCAUGGCUGUCGUCAGCUCGUGUCGUGAGAUGUUGGGUUAAGUCCCGCAACGAGCGCAACCCUUGUCGUUAAUUGCCAUCAUUUAGUUGGGCACUUUAACGAGACUGCCGGUGACAAACCGGAGGAAGGUGGGGAUGACGUCAAGUCCUCAUGGCCCUUAUGGGUAGGGCUUCACACGUCAUACAAUGGUCGGUACAAAGGGUCGCCAACCCGCGAGGGGGAGCCAAUCCCAGAAAGCCGAUCGUAGUCCGGAUCGUAGGCUGCAACUCGCCUGCGUGAAGUCGGAAUCGCUAGUAAUCGUGGAUCAGCAUGUCACGGUGAAUACGUUCCCGGGUCUUGUACACACCGCCCGUCACACCAUGGGAGCGGGUUCCGCCAGAAGUAGGUAGCCUAACCGCAAGGAGGGCGCUUACCACGGCGGGGUUCGUGACUGGGGUGAAGUCGUAACAAGGUAGCCGUAGGGGAACCUGCGGCUG
This 1282-nucleotide ribosomal RNA is filed under the name metagenome. RNAcentral's name for it is "bacterial SSU rRNA". It matches the Rfam family "Bacterial small subunit ribosomal RNA", at positions 247 to 1520 of the family's 1533-position model. The record is from RNAcentral.